This 253-nucleotide ribosomal RNA is filed under the name uncultured bacterium. RNAcentral's name for it is "partial 16S ribosomal RNA". It matches the Rfam family "Bacterial small subunit ribosomal RNA", at positions 524 to 776 of the family's 1533-position model. The record is from RNAcentral.
UACGUAGGGUGCAAGCGUUGUCCGGAAUUACUGGGCGUAAAGGGCGCGUAGGCGGUUUGUUAAGUUGGAUGUGAAAACUGUGGGCUCAACCCAUAGCCUGCAUCCAAUACUGACAGGCUAGAGUUCUGGAGGGGAUAGCGGAAUUCCUGGUGUAGCGGUGAAAUGCGUAGAUAUCAGGAGGAACACCGGUGGCGAAGGCGGCUAUCUGGACAGAGUCUGACGCUGAGGCGCGAAAGCUAGGGGAGCAAACAGG